RNAcentral lists this ribosomal RNA (659 nucleotides) under Enterobacteriaceae bacterium. RNAcentral's name for it is "bacterial SSU rRNA". It matches the Rfam family "Bacterial small subunit ribosomal RNA", at positions 833 to 1493 of the family's 1533-position model. Lineage: Bacteria; Pseudomonadati; Pseudomonadota; Gammaproteobacteria; Enterobacterales; Enterobacteriaceae. The record is from RNAcentral.
UGAGGCGUGGCUUCCGGAGCUAACGCGUUAAGUCGACCGCCUGGGGAGUACGGCCGCAAGGUUAAAACUCAAAUGAAUUGACGGGGGCCCGCACAAGCGGUGGAGCAUGUGGUUUAAUUCGAUGCAACGCGAAGAACCUUACCUACUCUUGACAUCCAGAGAACUUUGCAGAGAUGGUUUGGUGCCUUCGGGAACUCUGAGACAGGUGCUGCAUGGCUGUCGUCAGCUCGUGUUGUGAAAUGUUGGGUUAAGUCCCGCAACGAGCGCAACCCUUAUCCUUUGUUGCCAGCGGUUAGGCCGGGAACUCAAAGGAGACUGCCAGUGAUAAACUGGAGGAAGGUGGGGAUGACGUCAAGUCAUCAUGGCCCUUACGAGUAGGGCUACACACGUGCUACAAUGGCGCAUACAAAGAGAAGCGACCUCGCGAGAGCAAGCGGACCUCAUAAAGUGCGUCGUAGUCCGGAUUGGAGUCUGCAACUCGACUCCAUGAAGUCGGAAUCGCUAGUAAUCGUGGAUCAGAAUGCCACGGUGAAUACGUUCCCGGGCCUUGUACACACCGCCCGUCACACCAUGGGAGUGGGUUGCAAAAGAAGUAGGUAGCUUAACCUUCGGGAGGGCGCUUACCACUUUGUGAUUCAUGACUGGGGUGAAGUCGUACA